CAGAGCCGCCCGCCUGCGCUGGCAUUGCCCCAAGGGGCAGCUCUUGCUGUGGGGCUGGAUCCAUGCAGUGGGGCUGUGCAGGAACAGCACUGGGAGAAGUGCUGGAACAGCCUGGCAUCAGCCGCCAGGCCUGGCUGUGGGCCUGAGCCCAGACGCUCCUCCAGCCCGUCAUUCGGAGGCUGGGGCCCGGGGACUGUCCCCAGCCAAGUGUGCAGAGGCCUGGCAGUGACGUGCUGGGACCAGCUCCUGGGUGAGCACAGGGCAGAAGUUGUGGGCACGUGCUCAUCCACCCUUCCAGCCACGGCACCGGCCUGGCCCCAAACCCAGGCAGACACCACACAUGACCGACGGCAGAGCACAAAACAGCGAUUUGCCAAGCAAAUCUGUGCCAGCAACCCUCGCCAUGCACAUUGCGCUAGCCAUGCUGCCCGAGUCACCUUCACCGUCACCUGCCUGGCCAGGCCCAGCCACCAAAUACUGCCUGCCCGGCUGGCCACCACCACUCGACAUGAGCUGGGCACUUGUGCCUGGGACCACCAGCCCUGCCAAGGUGGGGGCUGCAAAGGCCUAGGCCCUGCUGGGCUCUGCCCCGGAGCUGUGGGAAUGGCGGUGUCAGCCUUCACACCAGCUCCAUGUCAGGGACCACACGGCCCACUCGCUGCAGGCAGGACGGUGCCUCACCGCGUCUGUGCGGUGCUGCGUGUGGGAAACACAGUGCUACGGUCAGGUGAACCACUGCCCCAGGCUCUGCAAAACGGCUGCACCAUGAGAAGACCCCACUUAGGGCYGGUCUUAGCGGCUGCACCAGCAUUGGAGCUGGUGGCAAAGCGGUUCMCCUUGGCUGUGAAGCACCAUGAGGCCGAAGUUUGGGGUGUUCUGGGAGGGCCACAGCGUUCGGGGGCCUGCAAGAGCCAUGCAGUGCACUGGCAACCACCUUGCCUCUUGGCAGCAGCGACCGGUGCCCAGAGCUGGAACAUCCUGCAUGCACCAGCAGCGCCGUGGGCUCACGGUGCCUUCGCACUAUGA
This 1026-nucleotide long non-coding RNA is filed under the name Apteryx haastii (Great spotted kiwi). Its description in RNAcentral is "lncRNA (ENSAHAG00000015202.1)". Lineage: Eukaryota; Metazoa; Chordata; Aves; Apterygiformes; Apterygidae. The record is from RNAcentral.